This 306-nucleotide unclassified non-coding RNA is filed under the name plant metagenome. RNAcentral's name for it is "partial contains 5.8S ribosomal RNA, internal transcribed spacer 2, and large subunit ribosomal RNA". The stretch from base 1 to 105 matches the Rfam family "5.8S ribosomal RNA", at positions 50 to 154 of the family's 154-position model. The record is from RNAcentral.
GAAAUGCGAUAAGUAGUGUGAAUUGCAGAAUUCAGUGAAUCAUCGAAUCUUUGAACGCACAUUGCGCCCUUUGGUAUUCCUUAGGGCAUGCCUGUUCGAGCGUCAUCUAAACCCUCAAGCACUGCUUGGUGUUGGGUGCCUGUCCCGCCCCCCGCGCGCGGACUCACCUCAAAUCCAUUGGCGGCCCCCGCGUCGGCCACGAGCGCAGCAGAAACGCGAACUCGUGAGCCCGUCCGGGCGGCUCCCAGAAGCUACACCCACCCAGUUUGACCUCGGAUCAGGUAGGGAUACCCGCUGAACUUAAGC